This is a long non-coding RNA of Salvia splendens (bonfire salvia), 4198 nucleotides long. RefSeq lists it as uncharacterized. The transcript has 16 exons. NCBI's taxonomy places the organism in Eukaryota, Viridiplantae, Streptophyta, Magnoliopsida, Lamiales, Lamiaceae. The record is from RefSeq and is a predicted model, not a curated record.
UCCUAAUUCUGUUACAUAAUUUCAGUUGAAGUUCUAUAUAUAAUUUCUAAUUUCAAUUUAGAUUAGUUUUUUGAUAUAUUUGAAAAAAUGGAAUACAAUCAUAUUAUUAAACUAACUUUUAUGUAAUUAAAAAUGAAAUUACCAAAGAAAAAAAAAGAUUUAACUAUCUAAAUUUUAUUUUGAAAUCCUACAAACUUAAAAUUUGAAAAUCCGCACCACUCCCAUCUAUUUCAAAAUUUGAAGACUGUACCUCUCCCAUUUCAAAUACUCCAUCUACUAACUUAUUUUGAAGACUCUACCGGUCCAUCUCUCCGGCGAAACUCGGCACCACCACCGUCGCUGAUUCUCCCCCUCUCUCAAUCCCACUCUCUUUCCCUCUCUAUUCUUCACAAUUCCCAAAUUAGGAUGCAUCUCUCUUUCUCCCAAAAAUCUGACUCUCUCAUCUCCGGCGAAACUCGUCUCCAGCAUAUCACCACCGCAACUUCUCUCUCUCACUCACCCUGCUCUGGCCUCCAUCUCCUGUCAGGUUGUGCGAAAUUUCUCAUUAAAAUUUCCUAGAAACCCUACAUGAAAAAGCGGUGCCUCUAUCUCCCUCCUCCAACGGCACUGCACUCUCCCUCUCCAUCUCCAUCUCCUUCUUUCUCUCUCAAUUGGCGGAAUCGACUCGUGUUUUCCCCACACCAAGAGUCAUAGCCCUCGCAGAUUUCAAGCCCCCGGCCUGCUCGCCCGGAGAAGAAAGCCGAGGACGUGGCUGUCUCGGAGUUUGGUCCCCACCGCGGCUGCUACUCGCCAUCAUCAGACGCCGUCGUCUCCUGCAGCAGGUCGCUGGUCUGGAUUCGUGGGUGGCGUCGGGUGGCCCCUGACACGCGGCCUUGCCGCCGCCGCCAGCUGCUCGAACCCGUCGCCUUCCGCCCUUCCGUCGUGGGGGCGAACUUGUAGUGUGUGAUCAUGCGUGCAAAUUAAGCUAGAAAAAGUGUUUAUUUAAUUGUCUAGACGGGAUACAUGUCACCAUCGACCUCCUCAUGGACUCGCCGUCUGAUUUCGUUGCUGCUGAUUCUCGCCGAGCGGUGAGAGGCGCUCCAGGAUCCACUGAGCAGUCGCUUCGGUCGGUGUCAUACUCCAGCCAUCUCGGCUGCAUUGUCAUUGUCAAUUUCGUCGGACUGCCGUGGACUUCUUGGCUUAGGGAAGCUUUAGCAACAAUCUUUCUACUCCCUCUGGAGAGUUUGUAUCUGGCUGGUGCUUGUCUAACGUUCUAGUUUGUGAAGAGGAUGCACCAUUAGAUGUACCUCGUUCAUCUUAUGCUCAUCAGAGAACGUCUUUGUUGAUUAAAGUGAUUGCAAACCUUGAUUGCUUUGUUCCUGAUGUAUACCAGGAUGAGAAGGAUUUGUUUCUCAACAUGUUCAUUUGGUUCAUAGAGAAGGACUAUUAGAAACUGUCAGUUGACAAAGUGUCCACAGUUCACUGUUAAGUCUUUAGUUCCAGGAUUUUUGAAUGAAGAUGAUGUACAACUGCUGAAGUAAUUUGAAUAUAUGCCUUCCUUCCAUGCUGAAAUCGGGUUAUUUGUAAGUCAGUUUGAGUUCCGCAUCGUUCGUGCUGCAUCGAAAGAUCAUUUAGUCCAUGAGCUUGGGAAGAGGUGGACUGCAGGAGCAACUAGCUUCCUAUAUUGGACUCCCGGCCCUGAUGAAAAAAAGAGUAGGUUCUUGCAUUGCUGAAAAAAUGUUUGUUAUAGAUUCAAGAGAGUUAAAUGCUCCCUCCGAGGAAAGUUACCCGAAGGGCCAACUGGAACGUAAUACAAAGCGCUUGGCAGAUGUCGUCUCAGAUGCUUCAAAUUUUCAGUCAUUCAUUAUGAUAAAUUUGGAAGCUUUAGCAACAAUCUUUCCACUCCCUCUGGAGAGUUUGUAUCUGGCUGGUGCUCGUCUAACAUUCUAGUUUGUGAAGAGGAUGCACCAUUAAAAUGAGAAGGAUCUGUUUCUCAACAUGUUCAUUCGGGUCAUAGAGAAGGACUAUUAGAAACUGUCAGAUGGCAAAGUGUCCACAGUUAGCAAUAACUUGUGUUCACGGUUAUGUCAUGCAGAGUCUUUAGUUCCAGGAUUUUUGAAUGAAGAUGAUGUACAACUGCUGAGGGAAUACACUUCUUAAAAAGGAAUUUUAGUGCCAGAAAAGGAAGGUAGGAAGGUAAGACUGAUCUUGUAAAGAUGGCAGGAAAGAUGGUAGUAUAUAUUUAAUGAAAACAAUGUAAUCGAUCACUCAAAAUUAAAUGUUGGAAUGUUUCGAAGAUGAUCUAAAUUGACAGAGUAUUAUGUUUUUUUAUUCUGAUAAAGAUAUAAUGGUAGAGGUUUGUUUUCAGCAUUUUGGUAUGCGAGAAGGAACCAGUUUCCAGCAGGUGGGAAAUCCGAGCUUUUAUUGUAGUCGUCAAAUCCUGGGUCUUGUGAAUGUGCUUAUUUGUCUAAGUUGCUUGAGGGCGAGCAAGACUUCUGUUUGGGGGGUAUUUGAUGUGUGUGGUUAAUUUAACUUGUUAUUAUACAAUGGAUGGAAUGGAGGGUAGCAUACUACUACUCCAGUUCAAUUUUGACCACCUCACUAUUAAUUCCAGUGAGUUGAAGGGUAUAAAGCUGCAACUAAUAUUUGUAUUUUUAUAAACCUAACUUUAGUUCGAUAUUUAGUGUGUCAUUUCAUACUAAAGCCAUCAAUGAAGAACUACUGCAAAAUCUUUCUGAUGCUCUACACUUGUCGGUACCUGAUAAAAUUAGGGUUGGACUUCUUUGUCUAAUUUUGAAGAACACGAUAUCGUCACGAUACCAGGAUGUGUGGUUAGUUAUUCUCUUCUUUGUACAUACAUUUAGAUAUAAUUUUUUGUUUAGUUGUAGGAAGUGGAAUAUAUACAACAGUCUAUUAUUUUUGUAUCCUUGGAAUUCUUCUACCUGUUGCACUAAACCUAUAACCCUUUUCUUGGCUGUAUGCAGGAAAGAAUUUCUGUCUGAUUUAGAUUACUGAGCUGUCUGCCAAUUCUGCUGCGUUUGAGGCUACUGAUAUAAUUUAGCAUAUUCUCGUGUCACUCUUAGUUGAUUUGAAGGCAUCUCUAAGCAUUUAGAUUCAUUCUACUUGAAGGCCUCUCUAAGCAUUUAGUUUCAUUUUUUCAAAAUGUUAUCUCUUGUGCAACUAAGGUGUUUUCUGUGAUAGUUCCUAGUGCAUAAAUAGAGUAGAAUGUACUUGGUCGAUCUGAAGGUCGGGGUGGUAGGUGGAGUUUUUAACUUAUAAGAAACGGGGGGAAGGUGUGGAAAACAAAAGGCAAAAGUCUAUUUAUUGGUUUUUUACCUUGCUUUGCGUGGUCUUCUGCUUCCUGGUUGUUGCGCCUAUAUUUUUAUAUUUAUUUUAUUCAUUAUUUGCUGCCUUUUGCAGCUAAUUAUUGAACUGUUACAUAUAUUAAAUUUUUGUUUGUUAUACUGUGACUGACGUUUUUCAUCUUUUUCUAAUCCACCUUUUGCUACCUUGCAGCAUAAUUAAUUAAUACAUACAUAGCAUCCUACUUUUCUUUGUCUAUGCCGUGUACAAAUAUGUGCAAUAUUAGUGUUUCGUUGAUAUGUAUACCCAUCGAUUGUCAAAUCUUGGCUUCUUAAUAUAUCUGUUAACUAGACACAUUUCCUUUUUUACUUUGGCAUUCAGUUUGCUGUACUUGCAUCUAAAAAGAAAUCAUGGGCCUUGGAAGCUGGUUGAGCACCCCAUUAGUGUCACGUAAAGAUACUUUCUAUGAGGAUCAGUCAUUAAACAUCAAUGUGUGACUCACCGUACAUAGGGUAUUGCUUUACGUGCUAUUUUAGAUGCUUUGAGGAAGCCUGCAGAUUCAGAAGUUUGUUCCUUCCUAGUUUAUCAGAAUGUUAUUAUUGUGAAUUUCAGUUUUACCUUGGAUUUAUAACAUUCUGAUGUUUUCCUUUGAGAGUAUGGCAUUGGAGCAGUUUGUGGACCAUCUCAUUGAGUGGCCACAGUAUAGAGAGGGCACUCAACAGUAUUUCAGCGGCUUAUACCGAACCUGAUGGUGGCCAUAGUGCCAAUACUGCUCACCGACACGGUCAUAUUCAAUCUUAGCUCCACAUAUAGAGCAAUUCCCUCUUCGAUCCCACUGCAACAGAGACCACCAAGUUCUCUGAGUUCACUCCUAAUUACAUGAAGCCAUCACAACACACCUACCCUUCCUAAGGCA